This 480-nucleotide long non-coding RNA is filed under the name Struthio camelus australis. Its description in RNAcentral is "lncRNA (ENSSCUG00000013204.1)". Lineage: Eukaryota; Metazoa; Chordata; Aves; Struthioniformes; Struthionidae. The record is from RNAcentral.
AUGAAGGGACUAGGAGUUGAAGGGAUUUCUUUUCAGCUACCUAAUGCCUUGUGUCUUUUAUCAGGACAAAUGAGUGCUAAUUCUUCAGCCCUCCUGUUGGAUCAUGUCCACUCAGAUAGUCUUCACCCACUAAGCUCUUUCGACUUUUUGAGAAGCACAAGGAAAUCACUGAAGCCAUUCCCAAUGCAGAUCUUCUCAAAGUCCUUCUUUGGCACUUUGGAAAGGAUAUCCAACAUUUCAUUCUCAUCAACUACCUUCUUUAUGUUCUUCUUUGGAGCUGGAGGUCCCCUGCGCAUAUACAUCUCACAGAAUUACACCUUUGAAAACCCAGAAUCUCUGAGGGCAAAUACUGGAGGCCCUGUCCUCAUUCCCUCCGCCCUAAAGAUCCUUCACAGCCUUCUCCAAAGCCCCAGAAACAAACAGAAGUAUUCCCAUGACAGUGAUGUAUUUCGGAUCAGGUCCAUUCUUGGCCUAAGAUAG